GUUUCUUACCUCCUCCAUGUAAUGCUCCCCUAUCACAACGACCAUCUGAUGUAAAUUCCACUCCCCCGCGUUUCAUUCUAGUUGUCCUCGCUUUUCCCACCAUUUCCAUAAUUUUCCCACUUUCACACCACAUCACCCUUUAUCUCCCAUUUCUUUUCAUCUUCCAGUUCCUACAAGUUGUCAUGCCGCAUUUACUAUCAACCCCUUCCAUAUCCAUGCACGUUCUGUUAGGAACUAUGUUUCUUAAUCCAUAUCCCUUCGGGCAGCUAUCCUUGAUCCUUGCCAAACACAAUUCUGAGCGGCAGUAAAUACCACAGGCUCAGAAGAGAUGAAAAAGCAAACCCAACACAGAAAGCUGUAACCUGCUUGCACAUAGCAAUGACUGGUGACAUCAUUUCUCUGUGAAUGUGCAGCAGCUGGACAGGACAGGAGAGAGAAAGGGGGGAUUUUGAGUCGAAUAACAGCUGAUUCCAACUGAAGAUUACACAAAAUGGCCGCGCACGUAGGGGAAAAGGUGUUGGAAGAAGUGUG
This is a non-coding RNA of Pelobates cultripes (western spadefoot toad), 531 nucleotides long. NCBI's taxonomy places the organism in Eukaryota, Metazoa, Chordata, Amphibia, Anura, Pelobatidae. The record is from the annotation of a GenBank genome assembly.